This 330-nucleotide ribosomal RNA is filed under the name uncultured eukaryote. Its description in RNAcentral is "partial 18S ribosomal RNA". It matches the Rfam family "Eukaryotic small subunit ribosomal RNA", at positions 1470 to 1796 of the family's 1831-position model. The record is from RNAcentral.
CCCUUAGAUGUUCUGGGCCGCACGCGCGCUACACUGAUGCAUUCAACGAGCCUAUCCUUGACCGACAGGUCCGGGUAAUCUUUGAAUCUGCAUCGUGACGGGGAUAGAUUAUUGCAAUUAUUAAUCUUCAACGAGGAAUGCCUAGUAAGCGCAAGUCAGCAGCUUGCGUUGAUUACGUCCCUGCCCUUUGUACACACCGCCCGUCGCUACUACCGAUUGAAUGGUUUAGUGAGAUCUUCGGAUUGGCGCCACUGCGGCUCAGCAAUGGGCUCGGUGGAUGCCGAAAAGUUGAUCAAACUUGAUCAUUUAGAGGAAGUAAAAGUCGUAACA